This 77-nucleotide transfer RNA is filed under the name Marinobacter sp. Its description in RNAcentral is "tRNA-Met". It matches the Rfam family "tRNA". Rfam says of the family: Transfer RNA (tRNA) molecules are approximately 80 nucleotides in length. Lineage: Bacteria; Pseudomonadati; Pseudomonadota; Gammaproteobacteria; Pseudomonadales; Marinobacteraceae. RNAcentral also lists the same sequence under 31 other names. The record is from RNAcentral.
UGCGGGGUAGAGCAGUCUGGUAGCUCGUCGGGCUCAUAACCCGGAGGUCGUUGGUUCGAAUCCAGCCCCCGCUACCA